This 494-nucleotide ribosomal RNA is filed under the name uncultured bacterium. Its description in RNAcentral is "partial 16S ribosomal RNA". It matches the Rfam family "Bacterial small subunit ribosomal RNA", at positions 28 to 507 of the family's 1533-position model. The record is from RNAcentral.
GACGAACGCUGGCGGCGUGCUUAACACAUGCAAGUCGAACGGUGAAGCGCCUUCCUUUUUGGUGGGUGUGGAUGAGUGGCGAACGGGUGAGUAACACGUGAGUAACCUGCCCCCUUCUUCUGGAUAACCGCAUGAAAGUGUGGCUAAUACGGGAUAUUCUGGGUCUGUCGCAUGAUGGGUCUGGGAAAGAUAUUGUUUCGGUGGGGGAUGGGCUCGCGGCCUAUCAGCUUGUUGGUGGGGUGAUGGCCUACCAAGGCGGUGACGGGUAGCCGGCCUGAGAGGGUGGACGGUCACACUGGGACUGAGACACGGCCCAGACUCCUACGGGAGGCAGCAGUGAGGAAUAUUGCACAAUGGGCGCAAGCCUGAUGCAGCGACGCCGCGAGAGGGAUGGAGGCCUUCGGGUUGUGAGCCUCUUUCGCCAGUGAAGCAGGCCUGCCUCGUUUGUGGGUGGGUUGACGGUAGCUGGAUAAGAAGCGCCGGCUAACUACGUG